GAUGAACGCUGGCGGCGUGUCUAAUACAUGCAAGUCGAGCGAACAGACGAGGAGCUUGCUCCUCUGACGUUAGCGGCGGACGGGUGAGUAACACGUGGAUAACCUACCUAUAAGACUGGGAUAACUUCGGGAAACCGGAGCUAAUACCGGAUAAUAUAUUGAACCGCAUGGUUCAAUAGUGAAAGACGGUUUUGCUGUCACUUAUAGAUGGAUCCGCGCCGCAUUAGCUAGUUGGUAAGGUAACGGCUUACCAAGGCAACGAUGCGUAGCCGACCUGAGAGGGUGAUCGGCCACACUGGAACUGAUACACGGUCCAGACUCCUACGGGAGGCAGCAGUAGGGAAUCUUCCGCAAAGGGCGAAAGCCUGACGGAGCAACGCCGCGUGAGUGAUGAAGGUCUUCGGAUCGUAAAACUCUGUUAUUAGGGAAGAACAAAUGUGUAAGUAACUAUGCACGUCUUGACGGUACCUAAUCAGAAAGCCACGGCUAACUACGUG
RNAcentral lists this ribosomal RNA (497 nucleotides) under uncultured bacterium. RNAcentral describes it as "partial 16S ribosomal RNA". It matches the Rfam family "Bacterial small subunit ribosomal RNA", at positions 28 to 507 of the family's 1533-position model. The record is from RNAcentral.